AUCGCUUCUCGGCCUUUUGGCUAAGAUCAAGUGUAGUAUCUGUUCUUAUCAGUUUAAUAUCUGAUAUGUCCUCUAUCCGAGGACAAUAUAUUAAAUGGAGUUUUGGAGCUUGGAGUUGUAAUAGGAGCUUACUNNNN
RNAcentral lists this small nuclear RNA (137 nucleotides) under Jaculus jaculus (lesser Egyptian jerboa). RNAcentral describes it as "U2 spliceosomal RNA (ENSJJAG00000004789.1)". It matches the Rfam family "U2 spliceosomal RNA", at positions 1 to 138 of the family's 192-position model. Rfam says of the family: U2 is a small nuclear RNA (snRNA) component of the spliceosome (involved in pre-mRNA splicing). Complementary binding between U2 snRNA (in an area lying towards the 5' end but 3' to hairpin I) and the branchpoint sequence (BPS) of the intron results the bulging out of an unpaired adenosine, on the BPS, which initiates a nucleophilic attack at the intronic 5' splice site, thus starting the first of two transesterification reactions that mediate splicing. Lineage: Eukaryota; Metazoa; Chordata; Mammalia; Rodentia; Dipodidae. The record is from RNAcentral.